UACGUAGGGGGCGAGCGUUGUCCGGAUUUAUUGGGCGUAAAGAGCGUGUAGGCGGUUCGGUAAGUCUGUCGUGAAAUCCUGAGGCUCAACCUCGGGCGUGCGAUGGAUACUGCCGGGCUAGAGGGUGGUAGAGGCGAGUGGAAUUCCCGGUGUAGCGGUGAAAUGCGCAGAUAUCUGGAGGAACACCGGUGGCGAAGGCGGCGUUCUGGACUGUCUCUGACACUGAAGAACGAAAGCCAGGGGAGCAAACGGG
This 253-nucleotide ribosomal RNA is filed under the name uncultured bacterium. RNAcentral's name for it is "partial 16S ribosomal RNA". It matches the Rfam family "Bacterial small subunit ribosomal RNA", at positions 524 to 776 of the family's 1533-position model. The record is from RNAcentral.